AACAAUCAUUUCUUUCCUCACAGCCGAAAUCCAACGGCCCAAACUCCUCUGCCAACCCGCUCAAAUCCCAAAAUAUUACCAACAAAACCACCACCCUCCCCCCCGCUUCCGUUCCACCGCCCUUCCCUUCCUCCCCGAAAUCGCACGACCUCGAGGUAUUUCUGCUUUCUUAUAGCCCACCUUCCGUGCCCUCUUCUCGUGCGGUUCCUCUUCCUCAGCUUCGUUUCGUUCCGGCGGUCCGGUUCUUCUUUCCAGCAUAAUCAUUUAUCAUGGGCGCCAUGGAAAAUGUCAACAACAGAGAAGAUCGUAUUCCAGCUGAAGCUAGGGAGAUUCUACAAUCAAUGGCUUCCCAGUGGGACGAUGUGGUAGAUUCAAAGGCACUGCAGGUGAUCCCUCUCAAGGGUGCAAUGACUAAUGAGGUUUUCCAAAUAAAGUGGCCAUCAAGGACAGGGGAAUUGUCACAUAAAGUUCUGGUUAGGAUUUAUGGUGAGGGUGUCGAGGUGUUCUUUGACAGGGAUAAUGAGAUCCGGACGUUUGAACACAUGUCAAAGAAUGGUCAGGGACCUCGACUGCUUGGGCGUUUUCCAAAUGGCCGAAUUGAAGAGUUCAUCCAUGCACGGACACUCUCAGCAUGUGAUCUACGUGAUCCGGAUAUAUCUGCUCUUAUAGCUUCUAAACUGAAGGAGUUCCACGAACUCGAUAUGCCUGGUCCAAAGGUUGUCACCCUCUGGGAUAGAUUGCGAAAUUGGCUCAGUACGGCCAAGAGAUUGUCUACGCCAGAAGAAGUUAACUCCUUUCAGUUAGAUUCUAUUGGAAAGGAAAUCCCGUUACUGGAGAAAGAGCUUUCAGGGCCUCAUCAACGCAUUGGUUUUUGCCACAAUGAUUUACAGUAUGGUAAUAUAAUGCUUGAGGAAGAGAGUAAAUUGAUAACCCUAAUCGACUAUGAAUAUGCAAGUUAUAAUGCUGUAGCAUUUGACAUAGCGAAUCAUUUCUGUGAGAUGGCAGCUGACUAUCACACUGAUACACCUCAUAUUUUGGACUACAGAAAAUAUCCUGGUUCGGAGGAGCGUCAGCGGUUUGUUCGUUUGUAUCUGAGUUCUUCAGGCAAUCAACCUACUGAGAGCGAAGUGGAGCGGCUGGUUCAAGACGUUGAGAACUAUACUCUUGCAAGCCAUCUCUUUUGGGGCUUAUGGGGAAUCAUUUCGGAACAUGUGAAUGAAAUUGACUUUGACUACAUGGAAUAUGCAAGGCAGAGGUUUCAACAGUACUGGAUAAGCAGGCCUAAGCUGUUGGGUUCUGUUGGAUCUCCUCCAGAUGUUGUAACUGAUGUUAAAUAUGGUACGUAUUGAGCUGCUGUUUAACACCACAUGCGAGGCUGUGGAGACGCUCUUCUUCUUUGCAUCUUGUGCAAAAGUUAAAUAUGGUAUGCAUUGAGCUGCUGUUUAACAGCACAUGUGAGGCUGUGGAGACGCUCUUCUUCUUUGCAUCUUUUGUUCUGGUUAGUUGCUUUUCUUUUAGGUGAAGGUGAGUUUUGGUUUGCACGCGAACAAAAGGGUACCGGAAAAACAUUAGCUAAGCGGCCAAGUAUCUUGAAGAAGCUUCAGAAAUAUUUCAGCUUCACAAAGACGAAAACUUAGGUUUGGAGAUUUCCUCAACUAAGGGUGCAUCAGUUUCAGAGGGGGAAGAUUCGCGAGUGGAUUGCAUAAUGGGAUGAAGUGGUGUACCGUGUAACGUAAGACUGGUGUGGCGAGUGCAGAAAGUGGGAUUUGAGGUUUGUAAACGAUUGAUCAUGUCUUCGUCUGAUCGAUCUUUCAUAACGUCCUCUCUUAUAUUGGCAUCCACAGCGUGAUUGCAAUUUCUGGAGCCUCUGCAGUUCGAGUGGCCCUUUGGUAACAAGCGCGUAAAGGUUUUAAUAUUGUCGGGAGUGCUGUCUUCUUUGAUGCAUUAUGUACUGUUGGUUUAUGUUAUAUAGUAUACGACGAUACUUUCUUUUUUC
RNA transcript from Pyrus x bretschneideri (Chinese white pear), 1996 nucleotides. It is a transcript of the gene named probable choline kinase 2, with no coding region annotated. NCBI's taxonomy places the organism in Eukaryota, Viridiplantae, Streptophyta, Magnoliopsida, Rosales, Rosaceae. The record is from RefSeq and is a predicted model, not a curated record. The transcript has 11 exons.